CCAGCACAACAUCCAUUUUAUCCAUAAUUUCCUCUCUCUCUCUCUCUCUCUCAAAUCCCUAAUUUCAUUUUCUCCUCCUCCGGACCUCACCUCCUCUAAAUUAAACUAAAAUGCGCUACUCUCUUGAAAUUGGAAUCAAGAAGAUUCGAAGAUAAAUCGAUGGUUUCUUAAUCUUUUACCACAGAAAUGAGAUUCUUAAACGGGUUUAGUUAGUGUUGUCUUCCCAAGUCCCCCAUAUGGUGGUGAAUGGAUGGGGGACUGGAAAGAUUACAUUUCCUCAACUUUUCUACAAACACAACAAUAUCUCCAGGAAAGCACAGAAAUUCUACUACAGGGUUCUCCUCUCUGGUGUGGCACCACUUGGGAAGGAUACUAUGGAAGAAUGUGCAAGGAAUUUACCAGAAGCUAAAAUCAUUCAAGGUUAUGGGAUAACAGAGAUUUGGGGAAUUGUUUUCUUCGAGAAUCGGUACGAGGGAGUUCAGACUCUAGCUUAACAGGAGUCCCUCUCUCAGUAGUUGAGAGCCCCAAAAUUGUGUUUUCUGACAUUCUUCCACUGCUCAGUUUGGUGAAAUUUGGGUUCAAGGUGAAAAUGUGAUGCAAGGGUAUCUCAACAAUUGGAAUCCAAGUUGACUAUAGAUAAUCAAAGUUGGGUUGGCACAGGAAUUUUGACAAACAAGGACAACUUUUUGAUGUCGACCGGAUAAAGAAUUCAUCAAAUAUAAAGGAAUUCAGAUAGCACUAUUCGAGAUUGAACUGUUGCUGGUUUCUCAUCCUGAAGUAUUAGAUGCAGUCGCUAUUUCGUAUCUUGAUUCGGCGGCUGGUGUGGUCCCAAUAGCAUAUAUUGUGUGUUCUUCCAACAGCUUACUGAAUGAAGUAGAUGUUCAGAAAUUGAUUGAAGCACAAGUAGCACCAUUCAAAAGAUUGCAUCAGGUAACAUUUUUCAGUAGUGUUCUGAAAUCCGGUUCAGGAAAGAUCCUAAGAAGAGAGCUUAUAGGUAAGGUUCAGGCAGGAUAUGUGCUCACCAAGAUUACAUAAAUGGGUCUGUAGAGCUAAUCAUUAGGGAAAACAAAACUGGAAGGAAGUGGAUUUUUGGUGGAUGCUAAUAACAGAGCUGCAUGGUAGUAGCAGCUAGAACAAAAAAGAAUAAAUUUAAUGAAUGCAUAAGAAAUUGAAACACCUGUUUACAAUUUGCAGCAUAAAAAAGCAUGAACCUGAGAAGAUUUUGGAUUAAACGGGGGAAACACCGUCGCAAGUGCAAACAUCACCAUCAUCUUGAUUAGGUUCAAAACUGAUGCAACAACAGAAGAGACCCAACAAUAACAUAAAAGCUGAAGCUGUUAUCAGCGCUUCUGCCCAAUUCAAGUACUUCUCCAUGAAAAACUUGCUAUUAUCGCUUUGGAUGUUGGUGUUCCUCUACAACUGCACCAAUUACCUUUCAUCUUCUCGAUUUCAGAACCUAAGAAGUGUUGUUGCCAACUCACAAACUAAAGGUUGUAUCAUCAGCUGCAGAAUGAAAUGAUAAAAAGAGAUUGGAGUGACUGUUACACAUGUUUUUGUGUUUGAGACCCACCAAAAGGUCCAUUUCUUCAAACCUUGUUCGUUGCCUUUAAGUUGGAAUGACUAGUAGUUUUCAGUAUUUGUAAGUCAUUUGGCAUGGACCAUUUUUUGAUCUAGAUGACUUGGCCGUCCGGUUAAAGUGAUCGAUUUUCUGUCUGCAUAACUUCAGGCUGAGAUUCGGAUUCUUUGAA
This is a long non-coding RNA of Papaver somniferum (opium poppy), 1748 nucleotides long. RefSeq lists it as uncharacterized. NCBI's taxonomy places the organism in Eukaryota, Viridiplantae, Streptophyta, Magnoliopsida, Ranunculales, Papaveraceae. The record is from RefSeq and is a predicted model, not a curated record. The transcript has 2 exons.